Anas platyrhynchos (mallard) is the source of this 1907-nucleotide non-coding RNA. The record is from RefSeq and is a predicted model, not a curated record. NCBI's taxonomy places the organism in Eukaryota, Metazoa, Chordata, Aves, Anseriformes, Anatidae.
UUUGGAUUCAAAAGUCUGAGGGCACACGUGGAAGCUCAAAACUCAAAAUAGGUGGGGUGAAAAGAUGGAGGUGAAUUGGACCACUUCUUCCCCAAACUGAGCGCAAGACCAGGAUUCUACACAAGUUCUCAGCUGCUAUGCAAGCACUGCAGCAUCAACAGAGGCUUAAACCUCCAGUUUAGCCUUCUGUAACCAUAACACCAAAAGCUCAGCCACAAGUUCAGCAUCUUAAUUGCCACUCUAGGCCCUGAAAUUGGUGCCUGGUCCUAACAUUAGAUAAUCCAUAGGCAGUAGAACAGGCACUGGCAGAGCCAGAGGCUUACUCUUCUGCUGAAGAAAGCCACCUAUGAAGGCAUGAUUGUCAUAAUGAGCUCCUCCUGGCACAUCUCAGCACAGAAUAAGCCCAGGAGAAGUUCUAAGAAACAAACAAAACCCAACCAAACAAAACAAAUUAAAACCAAAACAAAAAGCACUUGCAGGCAGCUCUUGUGCUCAUUGAGACACUCCUAGAAACAGCUGUGUUCACAUCAAGAGGCAGAGGUGCUGAUUGUAGGAGUUACUAACCUGAGACAAAAUCCCUGGAGCAGAACCUGCUCAUGCUCUUCGGCCUAGCAAUAACUUUUUCUUCUUCAGUACUACUGCAUGAGCAGAGAGCAAGGGAGGAGAGGGAGUACAGACACAUUAGAGCUGACCACCAGCACCACCAGUUGCUUUAUAACUGUGAUCUGCUCAUACUGCUCAAAGGAGAAGGCUGAUGCAGGACAUUUCCUCAGGAAAGAAUCUUGCAUGAUAAGAUGUGGAAGACAACCAUCAGGUCAAGGGACACCCAGCAGGAACAGUACAUUCUGAAGGACAUCUGAAUAAACAUCUUUGUGCUUGAUGUGUAGGUACCCAAGCAAGCUUAAAUCACAUGUCUCAAUUUCAAGGACAGUUCAGUCUUGACCAGCCAUCCACCUGUGGAUGGAAGCUUGCUAGGAAGUUUUGCUGGGACCUAGGAUGACAGGACUGGCUGUCUAGAAGACAACUUGUGUGCACAUAAUACUAUUGUCCCCUGGUUUUGUUUGUCCCCUCAAAGGAGGGACAAUGCUCAAGUGUCAUCCUCAAAGCAGACAAACCUUCACAUGGCAACAGAGAAGAGCAAAAAGCAGCCAUCUCCUUUCAGGAUAUCUAAACUGUGUUUGUUCAAGAACAUGCCCUGACUUUAAGGUCUUCUAAUGAAGAGCUUACAAAAGCUUAUGAAAAUGUGUGCCUCAUUCUCCACAAGAUGCAAGGGCCAAGCUUUGGGAGCCAAAACUUCCAACCCUUACCUGAGGCCAGGGACACAUCAGGAUGAUGUGGUGCCAUACAGAGGACUCGCCUAGGUGCAGGGCCUCUGCAUCUCAGUUCUGUGCUGGCUUUGGGCCAGAGCAGCUUCCACCAGGGAAGAGGCUGUGACUCAUUCUCCAUCUGUGUGCAGCCAUCUCUGUACAGAAGAAGCAGAUGGCCUAGAGAGAUCAGAGAGAAUAUCAUGACACUAAAAUUAUGCUCACUGAAGCUGGGGAUGCAGGGGAAGUAAAAAGCAGGAUAGAUCCAUCACCUCCUGGGGUACAGCAGCAAAAGCCAGGCAAACACAUAUUGUCAUGGAUUUAAAAAGUCUAAAUAUAUAAGGUGUGCUUAAGUGUGUGGGUAAAGGCCAUUUAAUUCAGAGCUCUCACUGCUACGCUAUACUGACCAUGCCACAGGAGCUAGCCAGCCACCCUUAGAGUGCGUUUAAUGUAGAAAAAUGAUUUGUGGCACAGCCCUGUCAAUAGUGUAAACAGCUAUGACCUGAGGCAGCACCAGGGGUGUGGGCAGUGCUUUGCCUCUGAAAAGCAGCAGAGAUGCUUAUCACGGUGCCCCACUGAGAUGGGCCACUGCUGUCUGUAACU